UAUGUGUGUGUGUGUGUGCGUAUAUAUAUAUAUAUAUAUAUGUAUGUAUGUGUGUGUAUAUAUAUAUAUAUAUACACACACACACACACACACACAUA
Podarcis lilfordi (Lilford's wall lizard) is the source of this 98-nucleotide non-coding RNA. The record is from the annotation of a GenBank genome assembly. NCBI's taxonomy places the organism in Eukaryota, Metazoa, Chordata, Lepidosauria, Squamata, Lacertidae.